AGCAGCCGCGGUAAUUCCAGCUCCAAUAGCGUAUAUUAAAGUUGUUGCAGUUAGAAAGCUGUAGUUGAAUUUCGGGGUUAGUAGGUUGGUCAUGCCUCUGGUAUGUACUGGUCUCACUGAUUCCUCCUUCCUGAUGAACCUUAAUGCCAUUAAUUUGGUGUUUUGGGGAAUUUGGACUGUUACUUUGAAAAAAUUAGAGUGUUUAAAGCAAGCUAACGCUUGAAUACAUUAGCAUGGAAUAAUGAAAUAGGACGUUCGAUCCUAUUUUGUUGGUUUCUAGGAUUGACGUAAUGAUUAAUAGGGAUAGUUGGGGGCAUUAGUAUUCAAUUGUCAGAGGUGAAAUUCUUGGAUUUAUUGAAGACUGACUACUGCGAAAGCAUUUGCCAAGGAUGUUUUCAUUAAUCAAGAACGAAAGUUAGGGGAUCGAAGACGAUCAGAUACCGUCGUAGUCUUAACCAUAAACUAUGCCGACUAGGGAUCGGAUGAUGUUAAUUUUUUAAUGACUCAUUCGGCGCCUUACG
RNAcentral lists this ribosomal RNA (521 nucleotides) under uncultured Glomeromycotina. Its description in RNAcentral is "SSU rRNA". It matches the Rfam family "Eukaryotic small subunit ribosomal RNA", at positions 569 to 1092 of the family's 1831-position model. The record is from RNAcentral. Lineage: Eukaryota; Fungi; Glomeromycota.